UAGAAGAAGAAGAAGAAG
Molecule: small nuclear RNA, 18 nt
Filed under: Arabidopsis thaliana (thale cress)
Lineage: Eukaryota; Viridiplantae; Streptophyta; Magnoliopsida; Brassicales; Brassicaceae
Description: snRNA_06696
Source: RNAcentral